ACAUCAGUAGUUUAGUGGUAAAAUCCAUCGUCGAAGGUCGAUGAGUCCCGCGUCCGAUUCGCGGCUGAUGCA
Molecule: transfer RNA, 72 nt
Filed under: Hypoxylon rubiginosum
Lineage: Eukaryota; Fungi; Ascomycota; Sordariomycetes; Xylariales; Hypoxylaceae
Description: tRNA-Phe
Source: RNAcentral